Molecule: ribosomal RNA, 484 nt
Filed under: uncultured bacterium
Lineage: Bacteria
Description: partial 16S ribosomal RNA
Rfam family: Bacterial small subunit ribosomal RNA
Source: RNAcentral
AUUGAACGCUGGCGGCAGGCCUAACACAUGCAAGUCGAGCGGAUGAAGGGAGCUUGCUCCUGGAUUCAGCGGCGGACGGGUGAGUAAUGCCUAGGAAUCUGCCUGGUAGUGGGGGAUAACGUCCGGAAACGGGCGCUAAUACCGCAUACGUCCUGCGGGAGAAAGUGGGGGAUCUUCGGACCUCACGCUAUCAGAUGAUCCUAGGUCGGAUUAGCUAGUUGGUGGGGUAAAGGCCUACCAAGGCGACGAUCCGUAACUGGUCUGAGAGGAUGAUCAGUCACACUGGAACUGAGACACGGUCCAGACUCCUACGGGAGGCAGCAGUGGGGAAUAUUGGACAAUGGGCGAAAGCCUGAUCCAGCCAUGCCGCGUGUGUGAAGAAGGUCUUCGGAUUGUAAAGCACUUUAAGUUGGGAGGAAGGGCAGUAAGUUAAUACCUUGCUGUUUUGACGUUACCAACAGAAUAAGCACCGGCUAACUUCGUG